Molecule: non-coding RNA, 30 nt
Filed under: Rattus norvegicus (Norway rat)
Lineage: Eukaryota; Metazoa; Chordata; Mammalia; Rodentia; Muridae
Source: RNAcentral
GACAAGGAAAAGCACCACCAUAUGACUGUC